Paramisgurnus dabryanus is the source of this 2676-nucleotide long non-coding RNA. RefSeq lists it as uncharacterized. The record is from RefSeq and is a predicted model, not a curated record. NCBI's taxonomy places the organism in Eukaryota, Metazoa, Chordata, Actinopteri, Cypriniformes, Cobitidae.
UCAUUACCAGAGGUGGAAGUAACGAAUUACAACUACUCACGUUACUGUAAUUAAGUAGUUUUUUCGUGUACUUGUACUUUUAUGAGUACAUUUUUAAGUCUGUAAUUUCCCUUGUACUUAAGUACAAAUUAAGGUCAGUAAUGUACUUCGCUACUUUGAAAAUCACAUUCGUUACUAAGUACUUGUAGAAUUUGAAUCAAAUUAAUAUUCAAAUCUUUGACAGCAUUUGGAUAUCCAAUAGAAAUAAUUGAUCGUGGGCGGGCCAAUAAAAACCCUUGUAUUUGAACCGGAAAAAAGCCCGGUCUCUGGAGAGCUAUUCAAUCGAUCCUCGUGCGUCCUUCACUGUGACGUUGUAUUUAGUGUUUUAAUGUCAAAGAACUUUGGCGUUAUGGACGCUGAAUUAAUUAAAAAUUCAGAAGAAAUACCGGAUGAUGAGUGCCCAUGGCUGCACCUGGGAGUUGUUCAAACAGAGGAAGGAAAGGAGACAGCGUGUAAAUGUAAUGCAAACUUUGUUUGCCAUCUGCAGUGAUUUCGGCUUACAAUACUUCAGCCUCUAAUCUCAAAAAGCACAUUAUGGUAAGAAGACUUAUAACCAUGUUUAUUUGAUCGUUUUCGUUUUUAAUGUUGGGUAGACCUCACGAUAAUUUGCCAGAAAACAUCACUUGAAACAUGUAGUUAUGUGACAAAAUGACGUAAUACGCACGAGCGCUUUGUUCCCACGGCUGUGUUCCCAGCAGGUAUUCAACGCCAGACGCGUUGUUGACUUAGGAAAUCUGUCAUAUCUUUGCUUUGUGAAUACCUCUAAAGCCCAUAUACUAGUGACAUAAAUUACUUCCUCACGUUGAUUCUCACGUUCGAAUUUCCAAGAUUGCUGUUGUAAGAAGAAAGUUAUAAGCGAAGCAAAAUUUCUCUCGUGUUUGGCAUUGAAAUCCUCUAUGAAGGGGAGUAUUUUUUUGUUUCAAACCAAAUUCUUUUGAUAGAAUAUACAUUUAACUUGAAUUAGGUGAAGUUUGGGAUUGAUUGUAACAUUCGCAUGUGCUUUUUUAAGAUCCGCAAGUGACGUGUUGUCAAAAGCAGAAUCGCCCAUUCAAUCAUUUUGGCUUCCAAAAAUUCUCCGUUUUCAUUGAUCCGUGCAUUAUUUUUUAAAGUAAUCAUACAGAACGAAGCAUUAGAAUCUCUAGAUUACAUUAUUGGCAUAAUUUUGUCAAACAUAUAAAUAAAUACAUGCAUGCAACAUGCAUGCAUUUAUUGAAUUAUUAUUAAUGAUAAAUAACAUAAUCAUCAAUUAAUGUAUUAAUAAUAUCUGACCAUUUAAAUUGCUCGCCAGCAUUAUUAUUCAAUUAAGAAAUAUUAAAGAAACAAUGAAAUGUUUCUUUAAUAUAUAAAAAUACAGCUUUUAUUUGAGAGGGCUUUGAUUUCAUAUGGAAAGAUAUGCGUGGAUUGAUGCUCUCGGUUUCAUUAAUUAGUGGUUAAUCAAGAAUAAUAACAUUUAUAUAUAUAUCUUUUAAAAAGAUGUCAUCUUAAUCUUGGGCUUUUAAUUACAUACAAUGUGGUGUUUGAAUUAUGCAAAUAGACCAAGAAAUGAGAAAGUUAUGAUAUUUUAAAGUGUUUGGUCAAGCGGACGUUUUUCAUAGUUUUAUCGUUUUAAUUGGGUACAAAAAUGCCCCCUAAUUUUCGAGUUAAAAAAAUUCCAUAACUUUCUUAAUAAUUAUCCGAUUUUAAUAAUUUAAAAACCAUGUUAAAGUUCUUUUUAUUAUCUAUCAUAUGGUUAUAAUUAUAUAUGUAUUUAUAUUUUUUGUCACAUACCUAAAACAUGAGCUUCAAUUACCUAGGUGACGAGCACGUAGACCGUAAAAAAAGAUUUAACAUUGUAAAAUGGCGCUCAAAGUUAAAUUUCAUGUCAUUGUCAACAUUGUAUUAUUCAUAUUGAAUCAGUGUUUUAAGCUUAUAAUAAUAAACAGUCUAAUAAGGACUCUUUUAUCAAAUUAGUCUGUUGCCGCGUCCCACUGGCGUAGCAGUGUAACUGCACUGACAGCCUGUCUAAAUUACACAUAUGUCAGUGCUAAAUCAUAAAUGCUGAUAACUUUUGAAAUAUUGUAGUGUACUUUUGGAAAGCUUUCUUGUCCAAUAAUAUUUUUUAACUCUUUUCCCCGCCAUUGACGAGUUAUCUUGUCAAUUAAGAAAAAAAACAUUUGCAUAAAACGUGUUUCUGAAGAAUUUAUGUUAAUGUGCAAUACCGCGAUUGUCCACUAGAUAGCGGACUUACCCAAUUUAUGGAUAAACUGAAGCCAAAACGUUAUUUACUAAUUUUAUGUUUGAUAUUCGUUCUGAAUCUGAUCUCUAACUAAAUUCCUUCACAAAAAUGCAAUUGUUUCAGCUUUUUGCUAAAAAAAAUGUGUAUUUGUAAAGAAUAACACCAAUAUUUAAGAGUUUAUAAGCAGGGAAAAAAUAGGAUGGAACGGUUUUUCACUUUUUUUAUUGUUUGUUUGAAAGUAGAGGGUCUGUUCUUUCAUUUGAUCUAUAUAUUUUUAGAAGAAAAAUUUCCUGGAAGGCAUUUUGUAAAACUUUUGUGAAAAUCAUAAAAAAUGCUGGCGGGCAACUUUUCGAAAAAUGGCUGGCGGGGAAUGAGUUAAUGUAAAAAAAUCUGUUUUUAAAUAAAAUAACCCAACAAGCUUA